AAGAAGGCCUUAUGGUUGUAAAGCACUUUAAGCGAGGAGGAGGCUACUUUAGUUAAUACCUAGAGAUAGUGGACGUUACUCGCAGAAUAAGCACCGGCUAACUCUGUGCCAGCAGCCGCGGUAAUACAGAGGGUGCAAGCGUUAAUCGGAUUUACUGGGCGUAAAGCGCGCGUAGGCGGCUAAUUAAGUCAAAUGUGAAAUCCCCGAGCUUAACUUGGGAAUUGCAUUCGAUACUGGUUAGCUAGAGUGUGGGAGAGGAUGGUAGAAUUCCAGGU
RNAcentral lists this ribosomal RNA (275 nucleotides) under uncultured Acinetobacter sp. Its description in RNAcentral is "partial 16S ribosomal RNA". It matches the Rfam family "Bacterial small subunit ribosomal RNA", at positions 408 to 674 of the family's 1533-position model. The record is from RNAcentral. Lineage: Bacteria; Pseudomonadati; Pseudomonadota; Gammaproteobacteria; Moraxellales; Moraxellaceae.